This 253-nucleotide ribosomal RNA is filed under the name uncultured bacterium. RNAcentral's name for it is "partial 16S ribosomal RNA". It matches the Rfam family "Bacterial small subunit ribosomal RNA", at positions 524 to 776 of the family's 1533-position model. The record is from RNAcentral.
UACGGAGGGGGCGAGCGUUAUUCGGAAUUACUGGGCGUAAAGCGUGCGUAGGCGGUUCAUUAAGUCGGUUGUGAAAUCCCUGGGCUUAACCUGGGAACUGCAGUCGAUACUGGUGGACUAGAGUACGGUAGAGGGUGGCGGAACUCCGGGUGUAGCGGUGAAAUGCGUAGAUAUCCGGAAGAACACCGAUGGCGAAGGCAACCACCUGGGCCUGUACUGACGCUGAGGUACGAAAGCGUGGGGAGCAAACAGG